Molecule: long non-coding RNA, 657 nt
Organism: Cannabis sativa
Lineage: Eukaryota; Viridiplantae; Streptophyta; Magnoliopsida; Rosales; Cannabaceae
Exons: 2
Source: RefSeq, a predicted model, not a curated record
UUGGUUGAUGGUAAUGGGCCAGAAAGGAAUAGAAUGGAAUACUAAUAGGCCUGAUUAUUUUGUUUGGUUGAAAAAUAACAAUUUUGGAAAAGAAUUCCAUAGUAAUGGUAUUCUCCCAAACUAAUGGAAUUGCUAUUCCAUUUGUUAUUCGGUGGAAUUAUAAUUCCAUUCCAAUCUCUCUUCUACUCUAGCCAUGGGCCAAGCCCAACAAACCCUCACCCUAGCUGAAGAUUAACCUGCCAUUGAUACCACUGUGACCGUCUCCUUCUUCUUCUUCGAUCGAUUAGGCUCACGCCGCUGCAAGUGGCAGGAGGCUCACGCCGCUGCAAGUGCCGGGAUCCUUGCUAGUCUGGUAGCGUUGCCAGAGUGUCCCAGAUGAUGAGAAUGAUGAAUGGGCGAGACUUCUGAUUGAUGGCUCUCUUUAGUACACAGCUCGGGAAAGAGUUAGAAAGAUCAUGCUUAUUCACUUUGGUCUAAAAUAAUUUGCAGGACAAUAUAUAUUGCCUUUGACAUUCAGUAGUAUAUCUGGUGUAAUGUGUUAUGCUCAUAAUUUUGCACACAAUUAUUUUGAGCAUAAAUAUGGGUAUUGGACAUGAAUACUUAUACUUUUGAACAAGUUUUUAUGUGAUUAUAUAGUUUUUUUUAAAAAAAAUAUAA